RNAcentral lists this ribosomal RNA (469 nucleotides) under uncultured bacterium. RNAcentral's name for it is "partial 16S ribosomal RNA". It matches the Rfam family "Bacterial small subunit ribosomal RNA", at positions 28 to 507 of the family's 1533-position model. The record is from RNAcentral.
GAUGAACGCUGGCGGCGUGCUUAACACAUGCAAGUCGAACGGUGAAGCGAGAGCUUGCACUCGUGGAUCAGUGGCGAACGGGUGAGUAACACGUGAGUAACCUGCCCCUCACUCUGGGAUAAGAACUGGAAACGGUGUCUAAUACUGGAUACGACCAACCAUUGCAUGGGGUGUUGGUGGAAAGAUUUAUCGGUGGUGGAUGGGCUCGCGGCCUAUCAGCUUGUUGGUGGGGUAAUGGCCCACCAAGGCGUCGACGGGUAGCCGGCCUGAGAGGGUGACCGGCCACACUGGGACUGAGACACGGCCCAGACUCCUACGGGAGGCAGCAGUGGGGAAUAUUGCACAAUGGGCGAAAGCCUGAUGCAGCGACGCCGCGUGAGGGAUGACGGCCUUCGGGUUGUAAACCUCUUUCAGCAGGGAAGAAGCGAAAGUGACGGUACCUGCAGAAGAAGCACCGGCUAACUACGUG